Molecule: ribosomal RNA, 117 nt
Organism: Sinocyclocheilus anshuiensis
Lineage: Eukaryota; Metazoa; Chordata; Actinopteri; Cypriniformes; Cyprinidae
Source: Ensembl
AAGGGAAGCCAUAUCACCCUGUAGCCCAAGACUGGUUGCCCACUGAAGCCAAGCAGGGUUGAGCCUGGUUAGUACCUGGAUGGGAGACCUCCUGGGAAAACUAGGUUGCUGCUGGAA